This 66-nucleotide transfer RNA is filed under the name Physunio superbus. RNAcentral describes it as "tRNA-Ile". Lineage: Eukaryota; Metazoa; Mollusca; Bivalvia; Unionida; Unionidae. The record is from RNAcentral.
AGUAUCAAGCCGGAUUAACGGAUUACCCUGAUGAGGUAAAACAUGAGACAACAACCCCUGAUACUU